Long non-coding RNA from Magnolia sinica, 233 nucleotides. RefSeq lists it as uncharacterized. The record is from RefSeq and is a predicted model, not a curated record. Lineage: Eukaryota; Viridiplantae; Streptophyta; Magnoliopsida; Magnoliales; Magnoliaceae. The transcript has 2 exons.
UAUAUAAAAAAAUCUACUCAUAAUCUGUUGUAUUCUGUUCUCUAGUUCAUUGUUUGUCUUUUCAAUAACAUUAAUACAAGUGAUAUAUUCUAGACCUUUAGGCCGGAAUUUACUGGUGUUAGGUAAGGAUUAAUUGUAAUUAUCACACUACUAAGAUAAGUUAAGAGUUAGUUCUGGAAGUCAUAUAAAUACUUUCUUUUCCCUGAAAUGUUACAGUUUUGGAUUUUUUUUUA